GGUUUAGGCCAUACCACCCUGAAUGUGCCCGAUCUUGUCUGACUGCCGAAGCUAAGCAGGGUCGGGCCUGGUUAGUACUUGGAUGGGAGAAAACAGCUGAAGGAUGUAUCU
This 111-nucleotide ribosomal RNA is filed under the name Microtus ochrogaster (prairie vole). Lineage: Eukaryota; Metazoa; Chordata; Mammalia; Rodentia; Cricetidae. The record is from RNAcentral.